UGGGGAAUCUUGGACAAUGGGCGCAAGCCUGAUCCAGCCAUGCCGCGUGAGUGACGAAGGCCUUAGGGUUGUAAAGCUCUUUUGGCGGGGACGAUAAUGACGGUACCCGCAGAAUAAGCCCCGGCUAACUUCGUGCCAGCAGCCGCGGUAAUACGAAGGGGGCUAGCGUUGUUCGGAAUUACUGGGCGUAAAGCGCACGUAGGCGGAUUUGUCAGUCAGGGGUGAAAUCCCGAGGCUCAACCUCGGAACUGCCUCCGAUACAGCAAGUCUCGAGUCCGGAAGAGGUGAGUGGAAUUCCUAGUGUAGAGGUGAAAUUCGUAGAUAUUAGGAAGAACACCAGUGGCGAAGGCGGCUCACUGGUCCGGUACUGACGCUGAGGUGCGAAAGCGUGGGGAGCAAACAGGAUUAGAUACCCGCGUAGUCCCUGAGCGGGCUGGCAAGGCGCAU
This 447-nucleotide ribosomal RNA is filed under the name uncultured bacterium. RNAcentral's name for it is "bacterial SSU rRNA". It matches the Rfam family "Bacterial small subunit ribosomal RNA", at positions 355 to 825 of the family's 1533-position model. The record is from RNAcentral.